CCCCCCUCAAGAUGAGAUUUCCCAUUACGCAAGUAAGUAAGAUCCCUCAAAGACGAUGAGGUAGAUAGGUUCGAGGUGGAAGUGUGGUGACACAUGGAGCUGACGAAUACUAAUCGAUCGAGGACUUAACCAAAA
The sequence is a ribosomal RNA, 135 nucleotides long. It matches the Rfam family "Bacterial large subunit ribosomal RNA", at positions 2793 to 2925 of the family's 2925-position model.